ACAGUACUCCCUCCGUUCCGAAUUACUUGUCUUAGAUUUGUCUAGAUACGGAGGUAUCUAGCACUAAAAUAAGUCUAGAUACAUCCGUAUCUAGACAAAUCCAAGACAAGUAAUUCGGAACGGAGGGAGUAUAUC
Non-coding RNA from Triticum urartu, 135 nucleotides. Lineage: Eukaryota; Viridiplantae; Streptophyta; Magnoliopsida; Poales; Poaceae. The record is from Rfam.